Apis cerana (Asiatic honeybee) is the source of this 4940-nucleotide long non-coding RNA. RefSeq lists it as uncharacterized. The record is from RefSeq and is a predicted model, not a curated record. NCBI's taxonomy places the organism in Eukaryota, Metazoa, Arthropoda, Insecta, Hymenoptera, Apidae.
AAAUUAUUGUGUGCAGAAACACAAUAUAAUAAAAAGUAGAUUUAAAUGUUAAUUAAAAUGAGAAAUAGCGAAACUAAAAUAUCACAAAGUCAAAAUAUAUUACAAAUAUUCUAACAAGUUUAUAUAGAAAAACCUACACUAUACUAUCUAUGAACUAUAAGUCUCUAUUUAACGCGUUUUCUUAAAAGUAUAUCGUGCAAUUUUACCGUAAUACGUUUUUAAUUAAACGUCGAAUUAAUUAAAACAAUUUAAUUAAACGCAAGCCAUCAUCGUUCCACAGGGUUCUUUCAUCAAAAAUUCAUCAUGGUGAAUCUUCACGUGCAAAUAAAAUUUCUCGUUUUCAAUUUGUUUACUACAAGAUUUCCUACGUUAAUUAAAUAGAAAAUUGCGAAGAUUUAUAACCUAAUACGCUACAUUUUUUUUUAUACGUAUAUUUCUAACUAAUUCUUCAAUUUUUUUCUUUUCUUUCUUAUAUUUUUUAUUUUUCAUAGAUUUGCUUUCCUCAUAUUUUCUCAUUCUUAGAGUAUGUGUGAUAUUUAAGGCUUUAGAUUUUUGUUAGCUGUAAAUUCAUUGAGUAGUUUUGACUCGCAAUUUUUCAGGAAAUGUCGAAAGUAUAAUGGAAAUGGAUAGCUGUAUCGCAAAGACGCAUAGAAAGAAUGGGAUCGUAUUUUCAAGAAAACUCAGUUGCGAUCAAUUGUAAUCAACCGAAUAUACGAAUAUAUUACUUUUCUUAUAUUGAUAGACGAUAAAAAAUCCUUCUAUCGGAAAAUUUUUCUUAUAAUUCAUUCCACGUACAUUCAGCGAUAUGAUUCUCAUUUCACCAGAAGUCAAUUUAAACGAUUUUAUAUUACGAUUACUUUAUUUCUGUUUUUUUGUUAUUAUAACAAAUCUUUAAUACCAUCUUUCUAAAGUAAUCUUAUGUAUUUUUUAACAUGCACAAAAAAGUAAUAAACACAUAAUCUAUUGAUUCGAUAUUCUUACGCGUAUGAUUAUCUUUUUUCGUAUUAUUCAUUUUUAAUUGCUAUAUAUAUCUAACGAAAAUGCAUUUUUUAAAAUAUAAAAAUUCCCAUUCUCUUACUUCUAAUCAUUAAAAUAUAAUUUCAUUCAAAGUAUAACCUCAAAAAGUCAAUAAAUCAUACCUUAAAAACUUCAUUGCACCGUGAUUCAAUAAAAUCUGUAAAAUUCCAAAACUUCUUCGCAAAAACUUGAACCGGAAUCCAGUUUUUUUUCUUCGAUAUUUUCGAUUCGUCUUUUCACGAGGAUACACCAAGAUGUCGUAAUUGAUCGAAGAACGCAACGAUAUCGCGAAAGCCAGUCACGCAGCGGAAGUCGAUAAUGCAAACGAGAUCAAGUUCGGUCAGCGGUUCUUAUCGUUCCUAAUGAAGAAAAAUUGCCCCGUUCACGUGGAAGCACGCAACUAUACGGACAGUAAAUAAUCGUCAGAAUAUCCGAUCGUGUGGAACUCCGUUGGCAAGGGGAUGAAGCGUUUGCACGCGAAUUCGCAACAGAAUCAAGACGAAACAUAUCGCGUAAUUGAAGCGCAAAAGACUUCCGCUUUUGGAAUGGAGGCGCUUCGAUCGCGAAUCGAGCGCCACCAUUGAUCGUGGCUGUUAACGUCAGAAUCGGAAUAGUCAAACCUCGUGGGAUUGCCGUGAGUGGCUCUGUUUGUUAAAUGAUCGAUAAGACGAUAUUGUCUGUGUCUCUCGUUCGACGACGUUUGACCUCUUGAUCGAAAUAGACGUCCAUGGCCCGACUAGAUCGCUUGAUUACCGUUAUCCUUUGAUAGGUCGAUGAAGGUUCUUUCACUUUAUCCCGUUUGAUAGUGCCUCGCGACGCGUGAACACCGAUUUGUUAGGCUUUUGUGCGAGGUUACAUGAGAACACAUAACCUCGAUUUUGUGGAUGUGAUAGAAUUUGUGUAUAGAAUUACAGAUGCGUAUAAAACAUUUUUGAAAUGGAAGUAUUAUUGAGAAUUCAGUCAUUUUUCAAAAUAUUAUUUCGAAAAAUUAAAACUUUGAUGUUAUUUGAUUCGUGUUAUGAUUUCGUUUUAACCUUACAUUCAAAAUAUUUUUAAGUAGUAAUAUAAUGAUUAUGAGUAACACGAUACAAUUAUAUAUCGCGAACAAUUUAAUUAAUUUUUAUAAUUAAAUUUCGAAUGUUAUUAUUUCAUGAUUUCUCUUAAUCUAUAGGAUGGCUUCUUUAGGAAGACUUCGAUUUCAUUCGUACUGUAAUGCAACAAUCUUUCGUGUCAGCGUCUAUUCACAAGAAACAUUAAUAAAAAUAGAGAAGAAACGAAGGUACAUACACACGAGAGGGAAAAGCUCAUAUUUACCUCGAUUCCCUGUACGAUUCGUACUUUGUAACGAAACCAUAGGGGUUGCGAGUACAAAAGCUUCUUCCCUCCCCUAUUCACUCCGGGCUUUUUAUCGUUAAUAUUAGAGGGUCCUGCCUUUCGUCGUCACGUAAUGCAAUUGCAAAGAAAAGAAUUUGCUUGUGGCUUAUAACGUUGUUCUCCCCUUCCUGCACUUGACUGCCAAUGACGUUUCUAUCAUUUCUUACUUCUGUGAGUAAACCUCACAGCCAGCCUCGGCCAAUUCCCGCAUUCUUUCCAACCGAGUGAAGGAAGAAAAAAGAAACUCGCUCUGAACAAGAAUUCCUCGAAGCACUGGAUGCUCGCGAAAACGAAGCCGCUGCACAAUUCUUGGACCAAGGAAAACGAUAUUACGCGUUCGCACACGAACAACCGGCAGCAAAGGGCCUACCUAAUUUCAUUCAACGACGUUUGAUGUUUACUGUGCCCGGGAGACCGCAAACGAACUCGCCUCGUUUCCGCAUCCGCCCGAGUCGUUCGAACGAUAUCGUGACCCAUGGAAUUCGGCAGCCUUUCAUAACUCGUCCAACCUUACGAGUCACGGAUACUAUCCCGCGUUAUCAGGUUAAUUCGCGUGCCUGGAAACCCCCUCGAGACUCCCCUCGAGUGUAUCGUGGAACCACGUGGUUUUCAAGGGGGGAGGUAUAUAAUAGGUUGAAACACCGUGGCGGUUUAUCGGAGAAUUGGCGAACUUUGGGGAGAGAGAAACGUGGCUUUUGCUCGAUGAAUUUCUUAGAGUUGCGGCGGAUUGAUUGGCCGGUGCGCUGAUUGGGUUGCAAAGGGGAUUGGAUUGAUUACUUAGGUGGUUUUGGAAGGGGGGAGGGAGAGUUUGGAGACGGUUAAUUAUUCUUUGGACGGGGGUUUUAGAUUAGUUUUAGAUUGUUGGGAUAAUUGGUUUAUUAUUCUGUUUGUAACUGAAACUUUGUCAACAGUUGAAUUUUUUAUUUUUUUUAUUAUAUUAUUUAUCGUAACGAAAAAAUCUAUUUGAUUUUGUGAAGAUAUGCACAUAUAUUUCUGUCCAAUUUCCGGUCAAUUUUCUGCACCUUAUCUUUCUAUACGAUAUUUCACAUUUCACACAGGAUAAUUCAUAUCAAUCCAGCACAUAUAUUCGAUGUUGAAUAUGCGAUGAGUCUUCAUAGUUGCGAUAAGCCUCGUCCAAUGAAUAAUGCAUCUCUUGUGAACGUUUAAUUUUUACUAAAUCUCAUCUUGAAUCAUCGAAUCAAAAAUGUUUAACGAAUACGACUAUGAACAGUAUAACUCAUGUUUGCAUGUAAAUGUACAUUAUAUUCAUCAGAUUCUACAAUUAAUUGAAACGAUUAUCGGUCACUUUUCGUAUCUCAUUGAUUCGAACGAUUGUCACGAAGUCAUCCGCGUCUCCGAAAUAUGUCGCAAUUGUAAAUGCAUGCUAAUUGAUUAUGCGUCAUCAAUCUCUCGACCGGCCGUGAGAAUCAUAGAUCUAACGUAUGACAAUCUUGACUGUGAAUUUCUAACCAAAGAUCCUAUCGUCUUUCUCGAAGAUCGAAUCGUUACUAUACGCGUAUAAUUUGCACGUUUGUAUUAUAUUAGAGAUAUCAAGUAAUUUUAUUGUAUUAAAAUUAUGUAAAUAUUGUUUAGAAUUUUGAAAUUUUACUUCGAAUAAUGAAUUAGAUUAUAGAAUUCUAAUUAUUUUUAAAAAUUUAGAUAUUAGGAUAAUAUUGUUUGGUACAAUUUGAAAGAAUUUUAUGGAGCAUCUAUAGUAAAAAGUAAUUAAAACAUAAUUUAUUAUUAUUAUGCAGUAAUAAAAAAAUAGAUAAUAGUAAAAAGAUCCAAAGAUAGAAUCGUUAUAGAAUGUUGAAAUUGUACGUACCUUAAAGUUCUUCUAACGUAGUUUGUGUUAGGUAGUUAGGAUAGCAUUGUUGUAGCAUUGUAUUGGAGUAUUGUGGUUAGGGUAGUAUUGCCAUGAUAAGGUGAUAGUAACAGUAGUUAAAGUAGUUAGACCAGCAUUAGAAUAACACUGUUUCGUGAUGUUAUUUCGUGAUGAGUAUUAUUGAGAUAUUUGUAGAUAACCAAUAAUAUUCAAUCUAAAGAUCAAUUAAUAAUUAUUCAAUAAAUCUUUCUUAACUUUUGUUUUAAAAUUUUUAUCGAAAUUCUUUCGAAUGUAUUUCGAAUAAUAUACAACAAAUUAAUCACGGAGAUGAAAUCUGUAACAAAGAAUCAGCGAAUCGGAUAUCGCAAUGAUUUGUCGAAUUGAUUGUUCUUGCUCACCAUUUGAAUUAUUGCGCGCAUUAACUCGAAUUCGAAAUACGAGGAAAAAGUAAAACGAAAGAAGUCCGAUGGUUUCGAUGCGUGGAGUUCCAAACUAAAAUCCGAUUUGGAAACGAAAAGGGAAAAACAAUCAGAGAUUUUCUCAUUGUAUUAUUUUGAUUAAAGUUUGCAAUCGGAUAAAUAAGACACAUUCGUGAUCAGAGUUGACGUUUCAUAUUUAUUAUUCGAUUUAUUUUAAUACAUUUUUUUUUUGCGUGUAUUUUCCUGAAUUUUUUCAUGAUAUUUUUAUAUAUUGUUAGAGAAAACAAAAUAAAAAGCAUGCGUUU